UACGAAGGGGGCUAGCGUUGUUCGGAAUCACUGGGCGUAAAGGGCGCGUAGGCGGCUUUAUAAGUCGGGGGUGAAAGCCUGUGGCUCAACCACAGAAUUGCCUUCGAUACUGUAGAGCUUGAGACCGGAAGAGGUUAGUGGAACUGCGAGUGUAGAGGUGAAAUUCGUAGAUAUUCGCAAGAACACCAGUGGCGAAGGCGGCUGACUGGUCCGGUUCUGACGCUGAGGUGCGAAAGCGUGGGGAGCAAACAGG
Molecule: ribosomal RNA, 253 nt
Filed under: uncultured bacterium
Lineage: Bacteria
Description: partial 16S ribosomal RNA
Rfam family: Bacterial small subunit ribosomal RNA
Source: RNAcentral